GACGAACGCUGGCGGCGUGCUUAACACAUGCAAGUCGAACGGAAAGGCCCUGCUUGCAGGGUACUCGAGUGGCGAACGGGUGAGUAACACGUGGGUGAUCUGCCCUGCACUUCGGGAUAAGCCUGGGAAACUGGGUCUAAUACCGGAUAGGAGCCACUUUUAGUGUGAUGGUUGGAAAGUUUUUUCGGUGUAGGAUGAGCUCGCGGCCUAUCAGCGUGUUGGUGGGGUAAUGGCCUACCAAGGCGGCGACGGGUAGCCGGACUGAGGGGGUGGACGGCCACAUUGGCACUGAGGGGCGGCCCAAAUACCGACUGGUGGCAGCAGUGGGGAAUCUUGCACAAUGGGCGCAGGCCUGAUGAAGCGGCGCCGCGUGGGGGAUGACGGCCUUAGGGUUGAAAACUACUUUCGCUAGGAACGAAGCUUUUUGUGACGGUACCUAGAUAAGAAGCACCGGCUAACUACGUG
RNAcentral lists this ribosomal RNA (465 nucleotides) under uncultured bacterium. RNAcentral's name for it is "partial 16S ribosomal RNA". It matches the Rfam family "Bacterial small subunit ribosomal RNA", at positions 28 to 507 of the family's 1533-position model. The record is from RNAcentral.